Molecule: long non-coding RNA, 1298 nt
Organism: Choloepus didactylus (southern two-toed sloth)
Lineage: Eukaryota; Metazoa; Chordata; Mammalia; Pilosa; Megalonychidae
Exons: 4
Source: RefSeq, a predicted model, not a curated record
AGUAAAGCAUUUCUUGGGGAGCUCGUCGAAGUUGCCGGUUGGUUUCCUGAGGAGUUCAUGGAGCACGUUCGUCGAAAAUCCCAGCUCAUUUCCUGAGGAGAUCGUUGAAGUUGCCGGUUCGUUUCCUGAGGAGUUCAUCGGACAUCUUCCUUGGAGUUGACAGUUUGUUGACGGCUCUGCAGAAUUUGGACUCGUGCAUACCCACAGUUGCGGUAGCCUCAACUGGGGCAAUGGACUGGUCAGCUCAGCUCUGUUCCAUGUAUCUCAUCCUCCAGCAGGCUGGCCGAAGCAUGUGUUCAUGGUGAAGGCAGAGGAGGACGUGGCCUCUUGGACCAGUGACCGGGGAGCACACAGCCAAAGGGACAGAGAAUGCCACACGCUCAGGCAGCCAAGAAGCCUUCACAGGCACAAAUUCACCUGGGUCACAGAUGUCUAUACAAUGCUCAGCCCCUGGUGAGUGGAGGAAGCCUGAAGCACAGGAAGCCAGAGGAGUCUCCACCAUGGCAGGUUGAAAGCUUUGAAUGAAUAAGAAUCAGGGCAGGAGAGAUCCAAAUGGUUCAGGUAAGCUGCUGAGGCUGGUAGACCAAGGUUUGAGGAAACAUCACCAUGGGGAGCACUAAUGUGCAAAACACUUUUUUAAACAGCAUUACUGAGGCAUAAACAAAUGCAGUAACUGUGCAGCUCCAAGUGUGCAAUUUGAUUAGUUUUGCAUCUGUAUAUACCUUUGACACUCUCACCAGAAUCAAGGUUAUGAAAUAUCCACAUUUCCUUACACCCCUUUGCAAUCCCUCCCAUUCCCUUGCCAUUCCCAGAUAGCCACUGAUCUGCUGUCACUGUAUAUUAGUUUCCAUUUUCUAGUAUUUCAUAUGAAUAGAAUCAUAUAGUAAGUACCCUUUAUUGUCUGACUUCUUUCAGUCAAUAAGAUGAUUUUGAGAUCUGUUCACAAUGUGCAUAUCAGUAGUUCAUUGCUUUUAUUGCAAAGUAGUAUUUCAAUAUAUGGAUGUAACGCAAUUUGUUGAUUUCUCAGUUAUGGAACUUUGAGUUGUUUCCAGUUUUUGGCUGUUACAAAUAAAGCUGCUGUGAGAUUCAUGUACAAUCCUCUGUAUGUGCAUGUGCUUUCAUUUCCCUUGCAUAAGUAUCUAGGAGUGGAAUGGCUGUGUCAUACGGUAGGUAUAUGUUUAACUUUUCAAGAAACUGCCAAACUGCUUUCCAAAGUGGUGGUACCAUUUUACAUUCUCACUAGCAGUGUAUCAGAGUUCCUAUUGCUACCAUAACAAAUGACCACAAAUUUAGUAGCU